RNAcentral lists this ribosomal RNA (253 nucleotides) under uncultured bacterium. RNAcentral describes it as "partial 16S ribosomal RNA". It matches the Rfam family "Bacterial small subunit ribosomal RNA", at positions 524 to 776 of the family's 1533-position model. The record is from RNAcentral.
UACGUAGGGUGCAAGCGUUGUCCGGAAUUAUUGGGCGUAAAGAGCUCGUAGGCGGUUUGUCGCGUCGAAUGUGAAAUCCCGGGGCUCAACCCCGGGUCUGCAUUCGAUACGGGUAGACUAGAGUUCGGUAGGGGAGUCUGGAAUUCCUGGUGUAGCGGUGAAAUGCGCAGAUAUCAGGAGGAACACCAAUGGCGAAGGCAGCUCGCUGGGACGGUACUGACGCUGAGACGCGAAAGCGUGGGGAGCAAACAGG